UACGAAGGGGGCGAGCGUUGUUCGGAAUUACUGGGCGUAAAGGGCGCGUAGGCGGCGACCCAAGUCAGAUGUGAAAGUCCUGGGCUUAACCUGGGGACUGCAUUUGAUACUGGGUUGCUUGAAUUCGGGAGAGGAUAGCGGAAUUCCCAGUGUAGAGGUGAAAUGCGUAGAGAUCCGGAGGAAUACCAGUGGCGAAGGCGGCACGCUGGGCCAUAACUGACGCUAAGACCCGAAAGCAUGGGUAGCGAACGGG
This 253-nucleotide ribosomal RNA is filed under the name uncultured bacterium. RNAcentral describes it as "partial 16S ribosomal RNA". It matches the Rfam family "Bacterial small subunit ribosomal RNA", at positions 524 to 776 of the family's 1533-position model. The record is from RNAcentral.